This 279-nucleotide ribosomal RNA is filed under the name Lactococcus sp. EKM501L. RNAcentral's name for it is "partial 23S ribosomal RNA". It matches the Rfam family "Bacterial large subunit ribosomal RNA", at positions 2103 to 2381 of the family's 2925-position model. The record is from RNAcentral. Lineage: Bacteria; Bacillati; Bacillota; Bacilli; Lactobacillales; Streptococcaceae.
ACUGCAGUUUGAUAUUGAGUAUCUGUACCACAUGUACAGGAUAGGUAGGAGCCAUUGAAGUCGGGACGCCAGUUUCGACGGAGGCGUUGUUGGGAUACUACCCUUGUGUUAUGGCUACUCUAACCCAGAUAGGUUAUCCCUAUCGGAGACAGUGUCUGACGGGCAGUUUGACUGGGGCGGUCGCCUCCUAAAAGGUAACGGAGGCGCCCAAAGGUUCCCUCAGAUUGGUUGGAAAUCAAUCGCAGAGUGUAAAGGUAUAAGGGAGCUUGACUGCGAGAG